RNAcentral lists this ribosomal RNA (562 nucleotides) under soil fungal sp. DM2-181. Its description in RNAcentral is "eukaryotic LSU rRNA". It matches the Rfam family "Eukaryotic large subunit ribosomal RNA", at positions 135 to 713 of the family's 3401-position model. Lineage: Eukaryota; Fungi. The record is from RNAcentral.
GGUCCGAGUUGUAAUUUGCAGAGGAUGCUUCGGGUGCGGUCCCCGUCUAAGUGCCCUGGAACGGGCCGUCAUAGAGGGUGAGAAUCCCGUCUGGGAUGGGCGGCCGCGCCCGUGUGAAGCUCCUUCGACGAGUCGAGUUGUUUGGGAAUGCAGCUCUAAGCGGGUGGUAAAUUUCAUCUAAAGCUAAAUACUGGCCGGAGACCGAUAGCGCACAAGUAGAGUGAUCGAAAGAUGAAAAGCACUUUGAAAAGAGAGUUAAACAGCACGUGAAAUUGUUGAAAGGGAAGCGUUGUCCACCAGACUCGCCCGGGGGGGUUCAGCCGGCACGUGUGCCGGUGUACUCCUCUCCGGGCGGGCCAGCAUCGGUUUGGGCGGUUGGUGAAAGGCCCCGGGAAUGUAACACCCUCCGGGGUGCCUUAUAGCCCGGGGUGCCAUACANCCAGCCUGGACCGAGGCCCGCGCUUCNGCGAGGAUGCUGGCGUAAUGGUGGUCAACGGCCCGNCUUGAAACACGGACCAAGGAGUCUAACAUCUAUGCGAGUGUUCGGGUGUUAAACCCGUCC